AAAUUGAAGAGUUUGAUCAUGGCUCAGAUUGAACGCUGGCGGCAGGCCUAACACAUGCAAGUCGAACGGUAACAGRAAGMAGCUUGCUKCUUUGCUGACGAGUGGCGGACGGGUGAGUAAUGUCUGGGAAACUGCCUGAUGGAGGGGGAUAACUACUGGAAACGGUAGCUAAUACCGCAUAACGUCGCAAGACCAAAGAGGGGGACCUUCGGG
Molecule: ribosomal RNA, 213 nt
Filed under: Escherichia coli
Lineage: Bacteria; Pseudomonadati; Pseudomonadota; Gammaproteobacteria; Enterobacterales; Enterobacteriaceae
Description: partial 16S ribosomal RNA
Rfam family: Bacterial small subunit ribosomal RNA
Source: RNAcentral